This 301-nucleotide ribosomal RNA is filed under the name uncultured bacterium. Its description in RNAcentral is "partial 16S ribosomal RNA". It matches the Rfam family "Bacterial small subunit ribosomal RNA", at positions 509 to 807 of the family's 1533-position model. The record is from RNAcentral.
CAGCCGCCGCGGGAAUGCGUAGGUGGCAAGCGUUGUCCGGAAUUAUUGGGCGUAAAGGGCUCGCAGGCGGUUUCUUAAGUCUGAUGUGAAAGCCCCCGGCUCAACCGGGAAGGGUCAUUGGAAACUGGGAAACUUGAGUGCAGAAGAGGAGAGUGGAAUUCCACGUGUAGCGGUGAAAUGCGUAGAGAUGCGGAGGAACACCAGUGGCGAAGGCGACUCUCUGGUCUGUAACUGACGCUGAGGAGCGAAAGCGUGGGGAGCGAACAGGAUUAGAUACCCCGGUAGUCCCUGUCUCUUAUAC